UUACGGGAGGCAGCAGUGGGGAAUUUUCCGCAAUGGGCGAAAGCCUGACGGAGCAAUACCGCGUGAGGGAGGAAGGCUCUUGGGUCGUAAACCUCUUUUCUCUGGGAAGAUAANNUGACGNGUACCAGAGGAAUAAGCAUCGGCUAACUCCGUGCCAGCAGCCGCGGUAAUACGGAGGAUGCAAGCGUUAUCCGGAAUGAUUGGGCGUAAAGAGUCCGUAGGUGGUUGUGAAAGUCUGUGGUUAAAGCGCGAAGCUCAACUUCGUACCGGCCAUGGAAACUAUGCGACUAGAGUGAGAGAGGGGUAGAGGGAAUUCUUGGUGUAGCGGUGAAAUGCGUAGAUAUCAAGAAGAACACCGGUGGCGAAAGCGCUUUACUGGCU
RNAcentral lists this ribosomal RNA (381 nucleotides) under uncultured bacterium. RNAcentral describes it as "bacterial SSU rRNA". It matches the Rfam family "Bacterial small subunit ribosomal RNA", at positions 339 to 734 of the family's 1533-position model. The record is from RNAcentral.